This 430-nucleotide ribosomal RNA is filed under the name uncultured bacterium. RNAcentral's name for it is "bacterial SSU rRNA". It matches the Rfam family "Bacterial small subunit ribosomal RNA", at positions 30 to 506 of the family's 1533-position model. The record is from RNAcentral.
CGAACGCUGGCGGCAUGCCUAACACAUGCAAGUCGAACGAGACCUUCGGGUCUAGUGGCGCACGGGUGCGUAACGCGUGGGAACCUGCCUUGAGGUUCGGGAUAACAGUUAGAAAUGACUGCUAAUACCGGAUGAUGUCUUCGGACCAAAGAUUUAUCGCCUUUAGAUGGGCCCGCGUUGGAUUAGCUAGUUGGUGGGGUAAAGGCCUACCAAGGCGACGAUCCAUAGCUGGUCUGAGAGGAUGAUCAGCCACACUGGGACUGAGACACGGCCCAGACUCCGACGGGAGGCAGCAGUGGGGAAUAUUGGACAAUGGGCGAAAGCCUGAUCCAGCAAUGCCGCGUGAGUGAUGAAGGCCUUAGGGUUGUAAAGCUCUUUUACCAGGGAUGAUAAUGACAGUACCUGGAGAAUAAGCUCCGGCUAACUCCGU